Molecule: long non-coding RNA, 119 nt
Organism: Xenia sp. Carnegie-2017
Lineage: Eukaryota; Metazoa; Cnidaria; Anthozoa; Malacalcyonacea; Xeniidae
Exons: 3
Source: RefSeq, a predicted model, not a curated record
UAUAAAACCUUACAACAUGCUAACAAGAAAAUUCAAAUAAAACUCGCAUCAAAUUGCUAAUUGAAUACACAUACAUAAUAACAACGCUAUUCAAAAACUAUAUACUCUGCGUUGACACC